UCGAAUAUUCGGCACACUAAUCGAAAGAUUAGGUCGCAAAGCCUUGGAGUCUAACAAUUCGAAAAGCGAAUUAAUGACCGUCCGGCUGCAUAA
RNAcentral lists this non-coding RNA (93 nucleotides) under Paenibacillus macerans. RNAcentral's name for it is "c-di-GMP sequence". It matches the Rfam family "c-di-GMP-I riboswitch aptamer". Rfam says of the family: GEMM was predicted in a large-scale screen for bacterial structured RNA regulatory elements. The record is from Rfam by way of RNAcentral. Lineage: Bacteria; Bacillati; Bacillota; Bacilli; Caryophanales; Paenibacillaceae.